GAUGAACGCUAGCUACAGGCUUAACACAUGCAAGUCGCGGGGCAGCAUGGGGGUUGCUUGCAAUCCCCGAUGGCGACCGGCGCACGGGUGAGUAACGCGUAUCCAACCUGCCCUUCACCACGGGAUAACCCGGCGAAAGUCGGACUAAUACCGUAUGUUGUCCAUUGACGGCAUCCGAUUUGGACGAAAGGUUUGGCGGUGAAGGAUGGGGAUGCGUCCGAUUAGCUGGACGGCGGGGUGACGGCCCACCGUGGCGACGAUCGGUAGGGGUUCUGAGAGGAAGGUCCCCCACACGGGAACUGAGACACGGUCCAGACUCCUACGGGAGGCAGCAGUGAGGAAUAUUGGUCAAUGGGCGUAAGCCUGAACCAGCCAAGUAGCGUGCAGGAUGACGGCCCUAGGGGUUGUAAACUGCUUUUAUGCGGGGAUAAAGUGGCCCACGUGUGGGUUUUUGCAGGUACCGCAUGAAUAAGGACCGGCUAAUUCCGUG
Molecule: ribosomal RNA, 490 nt
Filed under: uncultured bacterium
Lineage: Bacteria
Description: partial 16S ribosomal RNA
Rfam family: Bacterial small subunit ribosomal RNA
Source: RNAcentral